AACGCCACGGCGGCGUGCUAUACAUGCAGUCGUACGCACUGGCCCAACUGAUUGAUGGUGCUUGCACCUGAUUGACGAUGGAUCACCAGUGAGUGGCGGACGGGUGAGUAACACGUAGGUAACCUGCCCCGGAGCGGGGGAUAACAUUUGGAAACAGAUGCUAAUACCGCAUAACAACAAAAGCCACAUGGCUUUUGCUUGAAAGAUGGCUUUGGCUAUCACUCUGGGAUGGACCUGCGGUGCAUUAGCUAGUUGGUAAGGUAACGGCUUACCAAGGCGAUGAUGCAUAGCCGAGUUGAGAGACUGAUCGGCCACAAUGGAACUGAGACACGGUCCAUACUCCUACGGGAGGCAGCAGUAGGGAAUCUUCCACAAUGGGCGCAAGCCUGAUGGAGCAACACCGCGUGAGUGAAGAAGGGUUUCGGCUCGUAAAGCUCUGUUGUUGGAGAAGAAUGUGCGUGAGAGUAACUGUUCACGCAGUGACGGUAUCCAACCAGAAAGUCACGGCUAACUACGUGCCAGCAGCCGCGGUAAUACGUAGGUGGCAAGCGUUAUCCGGAUUUAUUGGGCGUAAAGCGAGCGCAGGCGGUUGCUUAGGUCUGAUGUGAAAGCCUUCGGCUUAACCGAAGAAGUGCAUCGGAAACCGGGCGACUUGAGUGCAGAAGAGGACAGUGGAACUCCAUGUGUAGCGGUGGAAUGCGUAGAUAUAUGGAAGAACACCAGUGGCGAAGGCGGCUGUCUGGUCUGCAACUGACGCUGAGGCUCGAAAGCAUGGGUAGCGAACAGGAUUAGAUACCCUGGUAGUCCAUGCCGUAAACGAUGAGUGCUAGGUGUUGGAGGGUUUCCGCCCUUCAGUGCCGGAGCUAACGCAUUAAGCACUCCGCCUGGGGAGUACGACCGCAAGGUUGAAACUCAAAGGAAUUGACGGGGGCCCGCACAAGCGGUGGAGCAUGUGGUUUAAUUCGAAGCUACGCGAAGAACCUUACCAGGUCUUGACAUCUUGCGCUAACCUUAGAAGAUAAGGCG
RNAcentral lists this ribosomal RNA (1026 nucleotides) under Limosilactobacillus reuteri. Its description in RNAcentral is "bacterial SSU rRNA". It matches the Rfam family "Bacterial small subunit ribosomal RNA", at positions 32 to 1013 of the family's 1533-position model. Lineage: Bacteria; Bacillati; Bacillota; Bacilli; Lactobacillales; Lactobacillaceae. The record is from RNAcentral.